UGAGGAAUCUUGCGCAAUGGGGGAAACCCUGACGCAGCAACGCCGCGUGAGUGAAGAAGGCCUUCGGGUCGUAAAGCUCUGUCAGAUGGGAAGAAAUGGAUGGGGGCUAAUAUCGUCCAUCCUUGACGGUACCAUCAGAGGAAGCACCGGCUAACUCCGUGCCAGCAGCCGCGGUAAUACGGGGGGUGCAAGCGUUGUUCGGAAUCAUUGGGCGUAACGCGCGCGCAGGCGGGUUGGUAAGUUGGAUGUGAAAGCCCGGGGCUUAACCCAGGAAGUGCAUUGGAGACUG
RNAcentral lists this ribosomal RNA (289 nucleotides) under uncultured prokaryote. RNAcentral's name for it is "partial 16S ribosomal RNA". It matches the Rfam family "Bacterial small subunit ribosomal RNA", at positions 355 to 635 of the family's 1533-position model. The record is from RNAcentral.